Molecule: long non-coding RNA, 314 nt
Filed under: Equus caballus (horse)
Lineage: Eukaryota; Metazoa; Chordata; Mammalia; Perissodactyla; Equidae
Description: lncRNA (ENSECAG00000056482.1)
Source: RNAcentral
UUUGUACCGAGGCAGGACACUCAAGAAGAUGCACCAGUUUGUAUUUCCGCCACCAAAGAAGAGAGUGCCUGCUUCCACAAAGCCUGCCGACGGCAUGUGUGCCAAUCUGAUAGGACUGAAAUGGUAUCAUUGAGUUGCUGAAGUUUCAACAGGACCGGCUUGCAUCACGGUGGACCUACCGAAGCCAUUCUUAAUGGCAUCACAAUUACCAGUUUAAUCCAGUUGACAAAUAACAGGAUGAAUCUAGCUAUCUGUUUUGUCUGUGCCUCCACUCCACUAUCAGAGCUCUAAUGGAGAAAACCAACCAGCAGAAA